RNAcentral lists this ribosomal RNA (183 nucleotides) under Paenibacillus catalpae. RNAcentral describes it as "partial 16S rRNA. Bacterial SSU". It matches the Rfam family "Bacterial small subunit ribosomal RNA", at positions 1 to 182 of the family's 1533-position model. Lineage: Bacteria; Bacillati; Bacillota; Bacilli; Caryophanales; Paenibacillaceae. The record is from RNAcentral.
AUUUCAUGGAGAGUUUGAUCCUGGCUCAGGACGAACGCUGGCGGCGUGCCUAAUACAUGCAAGUCGAGCGGAUCUUGUCCUUCGGGACAAGGUUAGCGGCGGACGGGUGAGUAACACGUGGGUAACCUGCCCAUAAGACUGGGAUAACAUUCGGAAACGAAUGCUAAUACCGGAUACGCGAAU